CUUUGGAUGUUGAGAUCUGAACUUAAGACUCAUGAUUUUGAGAUUAGUGGCUUAAAGAAAGAAGGGUUGAUUAGUACAUAAUAACUACAAAGACAUGCUGAUGAGAGCAAAAAAAAGAAGAGAAUAAUAGUGGUGCUCAAGUGAGGGAAACAUGUUUGGUUUAUUAGUGGCUUUUCUUGGUGAAAAAGAAAGUGGAAGAAAGGAUCUUCUUAGCAUAUACCUUGACAAACUUUGGUUGCUUU
RNAcentral lists this long non-coding RNA (242 nucleotides) under Trifolium pratense (red clover). Its description in RNAcentral is "long non-coding RNA (TPRA_LNC013005)". Lineage: Eukaryota; Viridiplantae; Streptophyta; Magnoliopsida; Fabales; Fabaceae. The record is from RNAcentral.